GUAUGUUUAUAUAAGUGUGAACUAUGGUGAUGGACAGCUGGGAAGAUAAUAUUUCAUUCAUUUCUUCCUUCUUUCCUUCAUCCAUUGAACAAUUACUUGCUGAACACUUGCUAUGAGCCAGGCACUAUGCCAGGCUCUGCAGAAUAAAACAACGAAACAGAAACAAACUCCAUCCUCAAGAAGCUAACGUCUAAUUCAGGAAAUAGAUAAACAGUUUUAUCUUCACAACAAUCCUGUGACACGAAGAAUUGGUGGGAGGUAAUGUCAGCAAGAUGGUGGAAUAGAAGUUUACUAUUGUCAUCCCCCUACAGAGCAUUGAUUUUGACAAACACUCAUAGUGCAACCAUUCAGCUCAGACUAUGCCCUGAAGCACAGACUUACGUCCCCUACCAAGAAUCACUUAUCAUGCCUUAUCUGGUAGAAGUAUAAUUCCCACGUCAAAGGAGAAGUUGAUAAUUCGACUAAUUUCAUCUGCUUUUAGUAAAAAUCAUCUGAUAUUUAAUAAAGCGAACAAUUAAAAAUAAAAGGGACACAAAGAAGCUU
Long non-coding RNA from Equus caballus (horse), 543 nucleotides. RefSeq lists it as uncharacterized. NCBI's taxonomy places the organism in Eukaryota, Metazoa, Chordata, Mammalia, Perissodactyla, Equidae. The record is from RefSeq and is a predicted model, not a curated record.